This 603-nucleotide long non-coding RNA is filed under the name Homo sapiens (human). Lineage: Eukaryota; Metazoa; Chordata; Mammalia; Primates; Hominidae. The record is from RNAcentral.
AAGAUGGCGCUAGCGGUUGGAGCAGGGGCUCUGCUGCGACCUUUACGGUAGUGAGGUUAGGGACGAUGGGAGAGCAGCUUUGUUCCUGAAGUGCCGUCGAGGAUUAGGAUCGAGUUUCUUCGAUCGUGAGGGCAAUUAUUAGUGGCCUCUAGCCCCCCAGAUGGCAUCUUGAGGAGAGAGAAUCCACGCUACGAGAACUAACAUAGUGGACAUCGCAGUUGUCCGUAGCCGAUUUGCGGGUUACGGAGUUGUUGCAAGGCAAGAAGGAGAAGGAAUUUAUUUGAGGCCCUACGACGUGGUGCGGUGGCUCACGCCUGUAAUCCCAACACUUUGGGAGGCCGAGGCAGGCGGAUCAUCUGAGAUCGAGAGUUCGAGACCAGCUUGACCAACAUGGAGAAACCCCGUCUCUACUAAAAGUACAAAAUUAGCCAGGCAUGGUGGCACAUGCCCGUAAUCCCAGCUACUCGGGAGGCUGAGGCAGGAGAGUAGCUUGAGCCCAGGAGGCGGAGGUUGUGGUGAGCCGAGAUCGCGCCAUUGCACAGCCUGGGCAACGAGCGAAACUCCAUCUCAAAAAAAUAAAUAAAAAUUUUUUUAAAAAAGAAA